GAGUUUGAUCGUGGCUCAGAUUGAACGCUGGCGGCAUGCCUUACACAUGCAAGUCGAACGGCAGCACGGGAGCUUGCUCCUGGUGGCGAGUGGCGAACGGGUGAGUAAUGCAUCGGAACGUAUCCUGGAGUGGGGGAUAACGUAGCGAAAGUUACGCUAAUACCGCAUAUUCUGUGAGCAGGAAAGCGGGGGACCUUCGGGCCUCGCGCUCUUGGAGCGGCCGAUGUCGGAUUAGCUAGUUGGUGAGGUAAAGGACGUCACCAAGGCGACGAUCCGUAGCAGGUCUGAGAGGAUGAUCUGCCACACUGGAACUGAGACACGGUCCAGACUCCUACGGGAGGCGAGCAGUGGGGAAUUUUGGACAAUGGGGGCAACCCUGAUCCAGCCAUGCCGCGUGAGUGAAGAAGGCCUCGG
This 414-nucleotide ribosomal RNA is filed under the name bacterium enrichment culture clone ALO1_GLFRUDD03HEQIQ. RNAcentral's name for it is "bacterial SSU rRNA". It matches the Rfam family "Bacterial small subunit ribosomal RNA", at positions 9 to 420 of the family's 1533-position model. The record is from RNAcentral.